This is a non-coding RNA of Oncorhynchus mykiss (rainbow trout), 3236 nucleotides long. The record is from RefSeq and is a predicted model, not a curated record. Lineage: Eukaryota; Metazoa; Chordata; Actinopteri; Salmoniformes; Salmonidae.
UAUUUCCUGGAAAGGAGACGAGGAAAAGUCAUAAGAAGUUCUUGCUCGCCUCUAAAAAGUUGUUUACCUGACUUCAUCUACGGUGUAAAGCGAGAAAGGUUGAAACGAAAAACAGAUCCCCUUAUCUUCUCCCCCUUUUCUCCUCCCCCUUUGUUCUCUUCUCUCCCUUCCCGUCCCUCUCCUCUUCUCCAGAUGUCUCUGAUGGAGCACGGUGGUGGCGCCCACAACAGGCCGGUGACGGCAGUGGCCUGGGCCUCCAACAGCAGCACCUGUCCCAAAGACUUCAACCUGAUCAGUAUAACUGAGGAUGGAGCUGCUGCAAACUUCACACGGAGCUUCGCCAUGAAGGCUGGCUACUACCUCUGCUACAGCAAGGACAUGUCAGGUGGUAUGGUAGUAUCAGAUGUCCAGGUGAUCUCAGACAAGGAGACUGUUCCUCAUGGGUACUGUUACAUACCUGAACACCUGGAGCCUAGGGCCUCCGUGUCUAAGAAGAAGCGUGUGUGUGUCCGCAUGGUGCCAGUGGGCGGUGUGGAGACUGCUGUACUGGACAUCAAACUGACUGCUAAGACUAGGAGGAUGCUGCAACACUACACCUGCUUGGGGGACAUGCAUGGCUAUGUGAUGUGGUGUAAGAAGGGGCCCUUCUCCAGCCCUCUACCCCAGGCAAAGCCUCGCAGCCUCAGCCUUGACCUCCGUCAGCUCUCGCUGGACCAGAACCCCCCUCCGCUACCCCUCAGACCCAGCAACGCUCCACCCAUGCCCCCUGGCAGGAAGCUCAGCCAUCGCCGCAGCAACCUCCAAUUGAACGAUGCUGUGGACAAAGUGGUUGACAGCAGCAACAUCUACGGCAUCUCAGCCAUAGAUGGUGUUCCCUUCACUCUACACCCCAAGUUCAAGACCCAAACGAACGGCACGACUCCAACAAACACUCUGAACAACAUUCGCAUCAAGUCUGUCCAGGACAUUGAAAAUGAGUACAACUACACUUUCACCGUGGAGGAAAACGCAGCCAAGAGAACCACAUCGCUCACCACAGGAAGCACCUCUUAAGCACAAUGACCUUUCAUCUCCGACCUCAACAAUGGCGGCCUGCUCGACCCACAACACUACGGAGGUCAAUGUGAUAUGCCUGGGUCAUGAAAUGAUAAUCAAUGUCCAAGUGCCUCGAAGAUGACUGACUAGAACAGAAGUGUCAUUCUACAUUCCAGAGUACCAUUGGUUGUACCCACAUUCUACAUUCCAGAGUUCCAUUGGUUGUACCCACAUUCUACAUUCCAGAGUUCCAUUGGUUGUACCCACAUUCUACAUUCCAGAGUUCCAUUGGUUAUACCCACAUUCUUAUUCCGUGUUCUAAACUCUUGCACAUUUCAUUCUCACGCCCCGUAUAUGUGGCCAGUUAUAUAUGUGAGGGAUGACUCUUCCCCCGUAUAUGGGGCCAGUUAUAUAUGUUAGGGAUGACUCUUCCCCCGUAUAUGGGGCCAGUUAUAUAUGUUAGGGAUGACUCUUCCCCCGUAUAUGGGGCCAGUUAUAUAUGUUAGGGAUGACUCUUCCCCCGUAUAUGGGGCCAGUUAUAUAUGUUAGGGAUGACUCUUCCCUCGUAUAUGGGGCCAGUUAUAUAUGUUAGGGAUGACUCUUCCCCCGUAUAUGGGGCCAGUUAUAUAUGUUAGAGAUGACUCUUUGACGGGGAAGAGAGCGUUGUAUGGCAGGGCACGCUUGUUUCUCUCGUUAGAAUAAUGACAGGAACCUGUUGCGGUGUACCUGUUAACGUCAGGCUAUUGAUCUUCAUCUUUAUUGGGAUGUUUAGGGACCAAACUAAAUGUUGUUACACUUUCAAUGUAAAUAAUGUUACUAUUAUGUCUCUGUGGUGAAACAUGGGUCAUUUCAUGGUUAAAAUAUAUAAUAAGGAAGUAUGGUUACCGGUCACUGGUUAUAUCUGUAUAUUGUGCCUUGCAUGCAAGUAUAAACACAUAAAGUACCAAAUAGUUUGACGUGUACCGUUCUUAUAAGGAGAGUUUGAUAUCCGUCACAGGGAGAUAAAACAUGUUAACACAGCAACUGCUGACACUUUAUGCUCGGACUGAUAGACACGCCCACUUUUCUGCAUGUUCAAACAGGUGAUUGGAGAUUUGGUUUCCGUGUGUAACCCAUAAGACCAUGUGAACCUGCCAGUCUGCAGCUUUCACCUGUAUCCACACUAGGUGCACCAGUCGACAGAAAAGUCCGGUUUUGGGGAUUCAACUCGAUCCGGAGUCGGGUGGAUAGAAGAUCCUGCAACCACGUUGUCAAUUUGAAUGCAAAACAGAGUAUCUGGUCUGGGGAUCAUUCAGCUGGGGAAGACUGGAGCAGGGAUGAGUGCAACCGGAAACACCAAAGAGGUGUUAAUAGAAGAGUUCUCUUCUGAGUCUGUGACGAUACAAUGUGAAGAUGUCCAAAGGAUGAAGAGGACAGCUUCAGACACUACUGAAACAGCAGGAGGAGGAGCAGCAGGAGGAGGUGCAGCAGGAGGAGGAGGUGCAGCAUGCAUAACAGAAGGUGUACUAGCAGCAGUACUAGAAGGAGUAGCAGGAGGAGAAGGAGUAGCAGCAACAGGAGCAACAGGUGUACUAGCAGCAGUACUAGGAGGAGUAGCAACAGGGCCAACAGAAGGUGUACUAGCAGCAGUACUAGGAGUUGUAGCAGGAGAAGGAGAAGCAGGAGUAACAGAAGGUGUACUAGCAGCAGUACUAGGAGGAGAAGGAGCAGCAGGAGAAGGAGAAGCAGCAACAGAAGGUGUACUAGCAGUAGUAGCAGGAGAAGGAGAAGGAGAAGCAGGAGAAGCAGCAACAGGAGCAACAGAAGGUGUACUAGCAGCAGUACUAGUAGGAGUAGCAGGAGAAGGAGCAGCAGGAGGAGGAGCAGGGGAAGGUGUAGUAGCAGCAGUACUAGGAGGAGUAGCAGGAGGAGCAGCAACAGGAGUAUUGGUACUAGCUUUGGGAAUACCAGCAGGAAUAGCAGGAGCAGGAGUAGCAGCAGUUGCAGGAGUAGCAUUUGCAGAGAUUUUUCAAAAAUGUACGCCUAAAUCUACAAAAGGCAGAUGGAAAAGAGAAAGUCUCUGAAAAGGUGGUACAGAUCUGGUUAAACAACAACUAAACUACAUGAGAGGAUAUCAUAUGUUUGUUUCUCUAGUUAAGACUAAUGUAAUGUAAAAUGUACAUGUUCAAAAUAUAAAACAAACGUACAUCAAUAUCCCUUUA